Molecule: transfer RNA, 75 nt
Filed under: Candidatus Nanohalarchaeota archaeon
Lineage: Archaea; Nanobdellati; Candidatus Nanohalarchaeota
Also listed under: 1 other name
Description: Candidatus Nanohaloarchaeota archaeon tRNA-Met
Rfam family: tRNA
About the family: Transfer RNA (tRNA) molecules are approximately 80 nucleotides in length. Their secondary structure includes four short double-helical elements and three loops (D, anti-codon, and T loops).
Source: RNAcentral
AGCGAGGUGGAGCAGCCUGGAGUGCUCGUUGGGCUCAUAACCCAAAGGUCGAUGGUUCAAAUCCAUCCCUCGCUA